UACGAAGGGGGCUAGCGUUGUUCGGAAUCACUGGGCGUAAAGGGCGCGUAGGCGGCCGAUCAAGUCGGGGGUGAAAGCCUGUGGCUCAACCACAGAAUUGCCUUCGAUACUGGUUGGCUUGAGACCGGAAGAGGUAAGUGGAACUGCGAGUGUAGAGGUGAAAUGCGCAGAUAUCAGGAAGAACACCCGUGGCGAAGGCGGCUCUCUGGUACGUGACUGACGCUGAGACGCGAAAGCGUGGGGAGCGAACAGG
Molecule: ribosomal RNA, 253 nt
Filed under: uncultured bacterium
Lineage: Bacteria
Description: partial 16S ribosomal RNA
Rfam family: Bacterial small subunit ribosomal RNA
Source: RNAcentral